Molecule: microRNA, 22 nt
Filed under: Octopus vulgaris (common octopus)
Lineage: Eukaryota; Metazoa; Mollusca; Cephalopoda; Octopoda; Octopodidae
Also listed under: 1 other name
Description: Ovu-Mir-12556_5p (mature (guide))
Source: RNAcentral
UUUCCGUACGUAGCACAUAUGU